CUUGAACAACGAUUCUUUCGUCAGAUUGUGUCUAGCGGGCGAACGGAAUGUCCUAGAAUCACGAUUCUUUCGUCAGAUUGUGUCUAGCGGGCGAACGGAAUGUCCUUGAACAACGAUUCUUUCGACAGAUUGUGUCUAGGGGGCGAACGGAAUGUCCUAGAAUCACGAUUCUUUCGUCAGAUUGU
This is a long non-coding RNA of Dalotia coriaria, 185 nucleotides long. RefSeq lists it as uncharacterized. The transcript is spliced from 4 exons. Lineage: Eukaryota; Metazoa; Arthropoda; Insecta; Coleoptera; Staphylinidae. The record is from RefSeq and is a predicted model, not a curated record.